CCCUUAGAUGUUCUGGGCUGCACGCGCGCUACACUGAUGCAUCCAGCGAGUUGUAACCUUGCUUGGUAAAGUUUGGUAAUCUGAGGCUAAUGUGCAUCGUGAUGGGAAUAGAGUUUUGCAACUAUUAGUCUUGAACGAGGAAUUCCUCGUAAGCACGAGUCAUCAGCUUGUGCUGAUUACGUCCCUGCCCUUUGUACACACCGCCCGUCGCUCCUACCGAUUGGAUGGUUUAGCGAGAGCCUUGGAUUGGAGCCCAGGUGGUCGGCAACGGCCGCUCGGGAUGCCGAGAAAUUGCUCCAGCUGACUCAUCUAGAGGAAGUAAAAGUCGUANCA
This 333-nucleotide ribosomal RNA is filed under the name uncultured eukaryote. Its description in RNAcentral is "partial 18S ribosomal RNA". It matches the Rfam family "Eukaryotic small subunit ribosomal RNA", at positions 1470 to 1796 of the family's 1831-position model. The record is from RNAcentral.